RNAcentral lists this ribosomal RNA (542 nucleotides) under Kluyvera ascorbata. Its description in RNAcentral is "partial 23S ribosomal RNA". It matches the Rfam family "Bacterial large subunit ribosomal RNA", at positions 2259 to 2800 of the family's 2925-position model. Lineage: Bacteria; Pseudomonadati; Pseudomonadota; Gammaproteobacteria; Enterobacterales; Enterobacteriaceae. The record is from RNAcentral.
UGGUGGGUAGUUUGACUGGGGCGGUCUCCUCCUAAAGAGUAACGGAGGAGCACGAAGGUUAGCUAAUCCUGGUCGGACAUCAGGAGGUUAGUGCAAAGGCAUAAGCUAGCUUGACUGCGAGAGUGACGGCUCGAGCAGGUGCGAAAGCAGGUCUUAGUGAUCCGGUGGUUCUGUAUGGAAGGGCCAUCGCUCAACGGAUAAAAGGUACUCCGGGGAUAACAGGCUGAUACCGCCCAAGAGUUCAUAUCGACGGCGGUGUUUGGCACCUCGAUGUCGGCUCAUCACAUCCUGGGGCUGAAGUAGGUCCCAAGGGUAUGGCUGUUCGCCAUUUAAAGUGGUACGCGAGCUGGGUUUAGAACGUCGUGAGACAGUUCGGUCCCUAUCUGCCGUGGGCGCUGGAGAAUUGAGGGGGGCUGCUCCUAGUACGAGAGGACCGGAGUGGACGCAUCACUGGUGUUCGGGUUGUCAUGCCAAUGGCAUUGCCCGGUAGCUAAAUGCGGAAAAGAUAAGUGCUGAAAGCAUCUAAGCACGAAACUUGCCCC